Molecule: small nuclear RNA, 104 nt
Organism: Cercocebus atys (sooty mangabey)
Lineage: Eukaryota; Metazoa; Chordata; Mammalia; Primates; Cercopithecidae
Source: Ensembl
UUGCUUUAGCAGCACAUAUACUAAAACUGGAAUGAUACAGAUAAGAUUAGCAUAAGUUCCUGUGUAAGGAUGACAUGUAAAUAAAUGAAGCUUCCAUAUUUUUU